This is a long non-coding RNA of Clupea harengus (Atlantic herring), 4226 nucleotides long. NCBI's taxonomy places the organism in Eukaryota, Metazoa, Chordata, Actinopteri, Clupeiformes, Clupeidae. The record is from Ensembl.
ACACACACACACACACACACACACACACACACACACACACACCUCCUGCAUGUAGUCCCCUAUGGCUGCUGUCUCUAAGCAGUAGAUCCUAAAGGGGACGUUCUGGGAUGCAGUGUUUCAAAAUGACUCCUAUCCACUGCAUGUUUGAGUCUUACUCACUGGUCCGUCUCUAUUGGCCACACGGUCUUCUGCGUCCCUAUUGGCCAAAUGGUCUUCUUCUUCUGUGUCCCUAUUGGCCACCUGGUCUUCUUCUUCUGCGUCUCUAUUGGUCAGAUUUGUCUCUUUUCCGAGGUCCCUGUCUGUUGGUGGCGUUAAGAUAAACCAGUGAGAUUGUCCAUGCGUUUCUCUGAGGUAUGUUUUUAAAAGUGGCCUUUAAAAAAAAAAAAAACGAGAUCCGUUAAGUCAUUUUUGUUGUUCCUUGUGUUACUAGUCCAAAGAUCCCAGUUUAUGAGAAUGUAGAUUAAAACAGUUGGCAGUACUUUGGUAGCUGGGCAGCUGGUGUUCAGUACACAUGUAGUAGGUGUUUAGCAAACAAAAUGGCUGCCAUCUAUAAGAAAGAGACAUGUCAAUCAAACAUGUGACGUAAGGGCUGAGGCAGUUGUAUGACAUGACAUGACAUGACUCCUUAUGAACGGGAUUCCAAAUCUUGUGUUUGUUUGUAGCUCACACACACACAGUUGGUCUUUGUCAUGCUUUUGUGAAAUAUGUAGUUUUAGCUUUAUGUUUGUAUUGUUAUGAGAUUGAGUUUGUUCGCUUUUUUUCCUUUUUGUAGGCGGGCCGUAGGCUUAGGGUUUAGUGCAGGUGGACUGGGGCUGGCUCCCUAUUGGUUGUUUGGCUAUGCACUGGCUCCCUAUUGGUUGUUUGGCUAUGCAAUGGCUCCCUAUUGGUUGGUUCGCUAUGCACCUAAUCCCAGCACAACUUUUCCCAUGAACACAUAGGCUACGUGAACCUUCCAAAGCACAACGUUUGUUGCCGUAGCAACUUCCAAACUGCCCUCACUACACCCACCCACCCCCCUGCACACACACACACAACACACACACACACACACACACACACACACACACUCACACACACAUCAGCAAGGGUGUGGCAUCAUUGUUUGGCAGCUCUCCACAUGUCCAUGUGUGUGUGUUGUGUGUGUGUGUGUGUGUUGUGUCUGGACUGUUGUGACCCGUUCUGUCAUAGUUCAGUGACUAGGGUGGACACAUCUGUGUGUGUGUGUGUGUGUGUGUGUGUGUGUUGUGUGUGGGGUGUCGUGACCCGUUCUGUCAUAGUUCAGUGACUAGUGUUGACACAAACGUGUGGAAAACAGAAAUUGUUUAGUUGUUCAAAUUGUGGUUGUGGAACAAAAAUAAGAAUAUCUAUGGACAUGUCGUGCCAAGUAAGUUACAGUGUGCCUGUGUGUGUGUUCGUGUGUGUGUGUGUGUUGUGAGUUUUACUAAGUGUGUAUGUCUCUUUUUUUAAAGUGUGAUAUUUUAGCCUUAGGUGUGCCCUGGUACAUGACUCCCUGGUGACCUCUGGUAACCCCUAGCAACCCCUUGGGUGUCAUGGCAGGCAAGCCACCAUGACCUUGUGUGUGUCGAAAAUAAUUUGACCUCUCCCUUUAAUCAACGACAUCCAAAAAACAACGCAACUUGCCCAUCAUAGAGAUGAGCAUGACCUGAAUGUACUUCUCCUAUGCGUGCAUGUAUGUAUGUGUGUGUGUGUGUCUUUAUGCUUUCCUGCUGCGUCAGAAUGCAUAGGCCUCACGCAUACAUACACACAGAUGUGACCUUUAAAAAACGACGACACUCUCUGGUGUCAGUGAUGGCUUGACCCGGGGUCGUCUCCAGGACAACCCUGUCUCUCCCAGGUGGCACAUGAGUAUUAUUUCAGGGGCAAACGAGACAGAGCAAAGAAAAAGAACAAAACAAAGGUAGUAUUAAUGUCCACAUGGGUCAAUAUGAGCACAAAGGUAGUAUUAAUGUCCACAUGGGGUCAAUAUGAGCUAUCAGUGUCGGGAAGUGUCGGGUGAAUUUAGAAUGACAGGCACUGCAGUAUUGCUGUAUAGAGUCUUUCUCUCUCCCUCUCUCUCUCUCUCUCUCUCUGUCUCUCUCUCUCUCUCUCUCUCUCUCUCUCUCCCUCCCUUUACCCUUUCUCUGUCACUUAAUGUCACGUAAUGAUGUAGUUCAAAGACACUUGGAGCUCACCAGACACUUAGCAACUCGGCUCAUUCUUUCUGUCUCUCUCUCUCUCUCUCUUUUCUCUUUCUUCCUUUCUUUCUUUCGUCCAGAAGACCCCCUCAACAGGAGGCCGGACAUUGAUGGUGGGUUUCCGUUAUCCAGUUUUAAAAAGCCACAAAUGCAUUGUAGUCAAGUGGAAGAGUGGUGGUGGGCCCCCCCCCCCCGCCCUAAUGGAGGCGCUGUUAGGGUUAUUAACUGCUUCAGUCAGCGGCGUUAAUCAGCGGGCCGGUUAUUAACUGCUUCAGUCAGCGCGUUAAUCAGCGGGCCGGUUAUUAACUGCUUCACAGUCAGAGGUGUUAAUCAGCGGGCCGGUUAUUAACUGCUUCAGUCAGCGGCGUUAAUCAGCGGGCCGGUUAUUAACUGCUUCAGUCAGCGGCGUUAAUCAGCGGGCCGGUUAUUAACUGCUUCAGUCAGCGGCGUUAAUCAGCGGGCCGGUUGUUCUUCUCCCGCUAGGAAAAGAGCAGGGUGAGAAUGAGAGUGGAGUGAACACAUUACAGCCUACAGCUGCUAUUCAAUUACUCCGUCGCUUUGCCAGGUCUGAGGAUAUAUCGGUAGAAUUGCCUGAUUGUGGUGCCAGUAACUACCACACGCUCACUCUCCCUCUCUCUCUCCCUCUCUCUUUCUAUCUGUCUCUCUCUCUCCCUCUAUCUGUCUCUCUCUCUCACUGUUGUCCAUCUCAGUGUCUAGCACAGGGGGUGGUAGGCUACAUGUAAAUCUGUUCCCAUAAUUCAAAACUAUGGCCAGGUGAUCCAGGAUCUUUGUGCUUAAACAAAAAAAAAAAAAACUUCUUUCAUGCCCCCUGACACUGACGUUAAAACCUUUCGACCUAGGAGUCAAGGUGUCUCACGUCUCAAUAAGGGCGGUGGGUAAUGGGAGUCAAGGUGUGUCUCACGUCUCAAUAAGGGCGGUGGGGAAUGGGAGGAGGAAUCACUGCCAGUACAUUCAGAUGUUACAUUAGCAUCGCCACUCGUGUCGGGGUUGGGCGGCGUUAAGUGUUGAUGUUCAGUGUUUUCAAUGUGACGUGUGAUUGGGUAAUGUGCGAUUAUGUUUUUCCGCUUGAGUAGCAUUCGUUCCAAUCCCAAAUUGAUUAAAAUCCCAUCUUAAACCUGUUUCAUCAUCAGCCUUUUCGCUUCUCUCUCUCUCUCUCUCUCUCUCUGUUUCUCUCUCUCUCUCUCUGUUCAUCUCUCAGUCUUUCAUAAUACUUUGUUUCCUCCACAUGCUUUUCUACAGUUGUUGGUCUUUUUCAUUGUGGCCCUUCCUGAUCUACCCGUACCUGUGUCCGUAUCGGUUGAUGUGAUUUAAUGGUGGGAAAAAGAUUCAUUUUUGGUCCAAGGACGUAAUUGAGAUGUGCACAGACUAGAAAGCACACACACACACACACUGACACACACUCACACACAUACACACACACACACACACACACACACACACACACACGCUGAGCUGUAGUAACCCAGUCUUAUCCACAUCACAUCGCAUUCUGUCCUUGACUGCUCUUAUAUUUGUGGUAGUAUCUAAAGCAUAGAGACCAGACCACAUCAGUUACGUUCUCUAAGCUUUUCAUUACAAGCUUCAAACUCUUUUUAAAGAAAUGUUCCAGAAAAUGCCCUCCAGAAAAGAUUUGAUUGCAGCAUAAGGUAACUAAUGCAAGUUAUUUGAUGUGUGUAAUGUAAAGCUAUAAGAUUGAGCAUCUGAAAAAGACACAUUGCAAGAGACAUUCAACCAAGCUUGUGGACGUGACGAGUAUAAUUUAGUGCACACCGUGGUAUUCUGCCAUUUUUAGCCAUCUGCCUCUUUGCCUAUAAGCAACAAUGCUUGUACAUAUCAUGAAGAAGUGCUUAUAAUAUUACCUGUUUUCUUUUCAAUGUUUUCUUUUUUAUUUAACAUGGUUUUGUAGUACUGCUUUUUUCAUAAUUGAGUUGUCAAUACGAAAAAUGACACGGGGUGGAGACAUGUGGACAUGUUAACUGUUUGUUCUUUUUUUUUAAGAAUAAAAAAAAA